CUAAAUUCUGCAAUGCACUUUACUCUAAAUUCUCUAUUUAGUUAAUAUAAACACAUUUGGCAGUUUUUGUGUUCACUGCAGGGCACCUGAUUUUAAAUGCUGUAAUGCAGGGAGUUGGUGGGCAGUUGGUAUGGAAAUUGUACAGACGAGGCUAAAAUAACCCAAAUCUUAUUUGGUCUAAAUUGUGUGCUUCCCGUGUCAGUCUCCCACAUUCCUCCUUUUAGUAAAUGAACCCCCA
This is a non-coding RNA of Pelobates cultripes (western spadefoot toad), 238 nucleotides long. The record is from the annotation of a GenBank genome assembly. Lineage: Eukaryota; Metazoa; Chordata; Amphibia; Anura; Pelobatidae.